ACAUACACGGCAACAAUUGCAUGGACAGAAAAUAAACAUUUGGAGCUUGAUUCUUGGAUCUUGUUUUCAGAAUUCGUUGAUUUAACGAGAUCGUCUUCGGGUCUUCUCAAAUGUACUAGAGCUUUCGAUUGAUCACCGAUUGCUUUUGAUGAAAUGAUGGUCAGAUUGGUCAACGUGGAUGGUGGCUGAGUGGUGCGCAGGUUGCCAAGUAAAAGAAACUUUUAGGAAUCCAUAAUAAAUUUGUUAGGCCAUUUUAUGUUUCUCUUCAAUUCCAUUCAUGACGCUAUGUUUAUUUGAUUCAGUAUUUGAGUUUCAAUAAAUUAAGGUAUUAAAUUUUAAAUUUUA
Long non-coding RNA from Olea europaea var. sylvestris, 345 nucleotides. RefSeq lists it as uncharacterized. The transcript has 3 exons. The record is from RefSeq and is a predicted model, not a curated record. NCBI's taxonomy places the organism in Eukaryota, Viridiplantae, Streptophyta, Magnoliopsida, Lamiales, Oleaceae.